Populus euphratica (Euphrates poplar) is the source of this 138-nucleotide long non-coding RNA. RefSeq lists it as uncharacterized. Lineage: Eukaryota; Viridiplantae; Streptophyta; Magnoliopsida; Malpighiales; Salicaceae. The transcript has 2 exons. The record is from RefSeq and is a predicted model, not a curated record.
ACCAAAAUAAAGAGAAUAACCUGGAAUGUCAGUAGACUCAUCCGUGUCAUCAUCCUGUUGACCACAGAGCAAAGUAAUCACAUAUGAAGAAAAACAAGCAAAUUAAUAUUUUCCAGCCAGUGCUAAUAUACAAAAAAA